GGUCAUGCACAAGUGGUGAACGACUGGAAGGGGCGGCACCACGACGGUCAAGGUGGUUCAUACCCAGCCGGGGAGGACGAUGCACUGCGAUGGGCACGGUAAGAUGUUGCAGCAGCGAACAAGGAGGCGGAGAUGCACAAAGGAGAGGAGGAAAAGCGCGCUCUGGUACUAAUCCAAGCCCGGCGGCAACUCCCCCAUAUGGUACGAGUUUGUUACCCCCUGCCGCGGGGAAAGAAUAUUUGGAUGAUACAAGGGCUUAUAUUUUUCUGUUUGUACGUGCUCUUAUUGGGAUGAUACGUGAUGAUGAAUAUUGGGUGUAACAAACUGAAUCCUAGAAUUAUUGGAUGCAUAUAUUCCUUCAUACUUUAGUGGUGAAUAGAUAGAAUUCACAAAUGUUUUCAUGGAUAGUUGGAUUCGAUUUUUCAUAUUCCUCCCUACACAGGCUGGGCGGUUUGAGUACAUGGAAACAUAAUUAUAUCCUACAAACCCUUAUUUGGUUUGCUUUCAUCUUUAUGUUGUUGAGUAAAGAAUCAGGAAAUCAUAUAAGGCACCUUGUAUCAUCUAUGUUUCCCCAUAGUGUAUUUGGUUUGUUUGCUUUGGCUAUUGUUGCUGCCAUCUCAAGCGCGACUGAAAAUUGCCAACAUCAGCAUCUUAGUCAAAACAGUUUAGUUAUUAUACUAUACAGAUGAAGCUUAGUGUUUCGUAUGCAGGAUCAAGAUACUCCAGUUUCUGCAUAAGUUCUCCUUGGUACCAAUUUGCAUAUGUGCAGGGUCGGAGCCUUUGGUCUGUUUGCAACUAGAAUUUCAGACACUGGUACAGAGUACGUGUUGGGAAUAUAUACUGAAGGUAUGGAACAUGUUUCUAUUAUUUCCUGAUGGAAUUUGAAAAUUGUUCUUAAAAAGAAACAUUAUAUUGGUGGUUCCUUAUUUUUUUCUGUACAAUUUAUUAAACUUUAGCAAUUCACGAAGCUUGCAUACAUAUAGAAACCCAAUGUAGAUAUUUGUUGUUGGUGAUGAUGAGAAAUCAUGUAUUUGCAUUCAGUGAGAAGAGCCUAUAGCAAGUAGCUCCAUGCGUCCUAUUCGUAUUGUAGCUGGUAUAAAUUGAAUGUAGGAUGUAGGAUCAAUUGUAGAAACUCUAAAUAUUUGUUCAGUCCACAUAACUGGAUUAGUUAGUUGCCAAUAUAUCGCUCGAUUUUAAGCUGGAGAUUUUCCCCCAAAUUUUGUAGCAUAAUAUUUUCUACUGAACAGGAAGAGUUCAGAGCAGGUAGUGGAAUAAAGGUGAUGAACAUAGCUAGCCUAACUUUUUUUUAUUUGUUUGCUCUAGCCAAAAAGUUGGCUCAGCUUCUCCAAUGUUAUUUUGCCUGAGUCAAUAUCAGUACAUGAUAUUUGUUUGUUCCAGCCAAAAAGUUGGUUAAACAUUCGAUGUGUUUGUUGGGCAUCUCUGCCUAAAACAGAAGUUCAAUUCUAAGUUCAAAGUUAUCAGCAUGUAGUAUUGUAAGCUGAUGGUUACCAGGAGAACAUAACAUUGAUAUUUUCUGACAUUGAUCAUAGCUUUGUGCAGUCCGAAUUUUAGGUCAGACUUCAAAGUGCGACGGAAAUAAAAAUAGUUGUACUAGCUGCUUUUAAUGGAUGCAGAUGCUGAGUCCCGGGCUUCCCCGAACUUGGCUCUCCAGGCUGCAAUCGACGGAGGCCGGCCUUGCUUAUCUCCCCUCAUGGCCGAUCAAGGAGGCGAACAGUGUCAAUCUGUCAUCGACACCUCAGGGUAUGGCCGCCACAUCUGGUAAAAAUUUCACAACAGUACUAUGAUUGAUUGAAUGACAAGAAUGCUUCUAUUUCGUCAGUUUAAUUUAGUCUUUGGGCUAUUCGUGGAGAACACACACUCCAUGGUCCAGACUUGUGACUGUACUUAAGUAGAAGAUGGAAUUAUUCUAUGAUCUCUUCAUGGUUGAUCACCGGGUUGCAAGUGAAAUUUGUGUAUGGACUGUGGAGCGUCAGUAUCAUAGUCAUGAGUCGUCAGGCUUCAGUCAUGUGUACUUGGUUGGACAUAUAUGAAGCGUAAGGGACUAGCUCAUUCACACUUGAGAUUUAGUAAUGUUCUUACAAUCAUUUAUUUAUGAUCUGCAGGUCUAAAAAACAAGCACCGGGUCCUUCUCCUCCAUGAAUCAGAUGUCAACAAGGCAACACGAAUCUGCAUGAGGCUGAACAUAAAAGAAAGAAAAUGGAGACAACUCGACGAGUUUAGGAACAACAUGUCAUCGACGAUGAGCACUUUUCCAGUCAGGGAAAGGAUUUUUUUAUGCCACGCUAGGACUUUUCGUGGUAUGGAUUGAAAUAGUCCAGUGUCCAGUAUUAUGGGAUUCACUCAAUUCAAUGCUGCUUCAUACUUCAGAGUUCAGACAUUUAUAUGUGCACAACAUGUGCCUUCUAAUUACGAGGUAAAAACUUCAAAUUGUUUUUUCGUCUACACAUAUGCGGUGAUGACGCUGGAUGCUUCGUAUCAUCACAAAGAAGCCGGCCAAGUUCCUUAGUUCCUUGUGACUUCAAACGGACUGAAUUUUGCAUUGUAGGCGUCUACUGUUUCUGAAUUUUAGGGUGGCAGCAACAAGGGCGAGGAGCAUGAUCGUGACACAGAGAUGGGCAAGUGCAGGGAAUGCAGGCAGCGAAAAGUUGUUGCGUUGCGGUUACCAACUACAGGGCCAAAUAUGUCGGCAGCCAUCCGCGCAUUAACUAAUUUAUGGCAGGUGAGGAUGAUAUAUUUUUCUUUUAUUAUCAGUAGUCAUAUUUUUCAUAUUCAAAUCCAAAUGUAAAUGUUCUAUUGCCUUGUACCAUACGGAACUAUUGACUGUGCUUGAUCUAGCCAGCUGGUAUUUUUUUAUAGUUGUUUCUCAUGAAUGAAGGUAAUUAUGAUAAGCAACGGCAUCAGGACAAGAAACAAUUUUAAGAGAACUGAAAUAUGCUAAAAAUAGUGAGGGUGAAAGUUUGUUCCAUUAAGUACUAAUCUAAUGAUAUAUAUGUACAUCAAAGGUUGCCUGCCAGGAGCAUUGCCUCCAUUCCAUUGGUUUGCUGUGCGUUGAGCAUUUAUUUGCAAGAUGCGAUAUAAUCCAAGGCACCUUCCUGAUAAAGAGAGAAAUCAUGUAUAUAAUCUUUGUAUAGCAGUAUACAUGUGCAUAUGUUUUAGAGUGUAUAACAUGGCCAUUGAUAAUUUUGUUAUUAAAUAGUGCUUUUGCUGGAGAUGGAAAUUCAUAGAGAUGACGCCCUAUUGAUAGAGGCGAGUGGACUGGAGGUGUGCGUUGCACUGAGGGCAAAUCAAAGGCUGAAAGUUUGUCAAAUUUCCUGUGCUUGGGUAUGGCUGGUUUGUAAGCAAAUGAGGAUACUCUGCCUUUUUACAGUGGUAUAUUGUUUAGUGAGGGGAAGGUACUCUCUUUUUCUAGACGGAAGAUCAUCUGCUUUGUGGCAAGGGGAUAUAUCGUGUUACUUCUCCCCCAUUUUGGUAUGUCUAAAUUCAGUAACAAGAUUAUACUCCUUGUUAAUUUUCCACGGCGUAACUUCGUAACUACGCGUUUCUCGUGUCGAGGCCAAUAUGCUUAAUGAGUCGGUUAGUUUUAAGUAAGCAUAAAAAACAUUGAUGUGCAAUCUUUUAUUGGUAAUGCAGUGAACAAAUAAAUACUUGAAUGUGAACCACUCUAUUUUGUGCAUCAGAUAUGGCAAGGCUCUCCUUGUGUUGUUUUCCUCCGUUUCUUGUUUUGUUUGGAAAAUGACAUAUUAUUAGCUCCAAGUUAUUGUCUGGAGAAGCUAAGACUAGGACAUGAAGAGAAAGUAACAAAGCAAAGAAAUAGUGGCAAAUAAACGAAAUGAGACAUUUGAAUGAUAUGUUGUUUUCUGGAAAUCAUCAUUAACUCAUUAUUAAUGUAGUGGUAAUACGUUGUUGCGCGUUGGAGAAGACACUGAG
This 3948-nucleotide long non-coding RNA is filed under the name Triticum aestivum (bread wheat). Its description in RNAcentral is "long non-coding RNA (TAES_LNC002229)". Lineage: Eukaryota; Viridiplantae; Streptophyta; Magnoliopsida; Poales; Poaceae. The record is from RNAcentral.